RNAcentral lists this transfer RNA (90 nucleotides) under bacterium. RNAcentral's name for it is "tRNA-Leu". It matches the Rfam family "tRNA". Rfam says of the family: Transfer RNA (tRNA) molecules are approximately 80 nucleotides in length. The record is from RNAcentral.
GCGCGGGUGGUGGAAUUGGUAGACACGAGGGACUUAAAAUCCCUUGCCGCUUAUACCGGCGUGCGAGUUCAAUUCUCGCUCCGCGCACCA